GAUUGAACGCGUGGCGGCAUGCCUUACACAUGCAAGUCGAGCGGCAGCGCGGGGGCAACCCUGGCGGCGAGCGGCGGACGGGUGAGUAAUGCAUCGGAACGUGUCCUCGUUGUGGGGGAUAACCAGUCGAAAGACUGGCUAAUACCGCAUGAGCUCGUAAGAGGAAAGCAGGGGACCCGCAAGGGCCUUGCGCGAGAGGAGCGGCCGAUGCCCGAUUAGCAGUUGGCGGGGUAAAAGCCCACCAAGGCGACGAUCGGUAGCUGGUCUGAGAGGACGACCAGCCACACUGGGACUGAGACACGGCCCAGACUCC
This 313-nucleotide ribosomal RNA is filed under the name uncultured bacterium. RNAcentral describes it as "bacterial SSU rRNA". It matches the Rfam family "Bacterial small subunit ribosomal RNA", at positions 27 to 339 of the family's 1533-position model. The record is from RNAcentral.